Molecule: long non-coding RNA, 2254 nt
Organism: Cyprinus carpio (common carp)
Lineage: Eukaryota; Metazoa; Chordata; Actinopteri; Cypriniformes; Cyprinidae
Source: RefSeq, a predicted model, not a curated record
CCAGCAGACUGGCAUGAUUUGCUGGUGGUGUGGCCCUGGCUGCUGCUUGGACUGUCUCUCAUCCUCAGUGCCAUCACACCACCCUUCGGCACGCUCUCCACCUCUGCGGCUUUUGACGGCAAGCUGUAAUAUGGACGUACGGACCUUUACUUUGAUAUUACCAUCCGUCCAUCUCACCUCUUUUCCACCUCUCCUCUAUUUCAUUCUUCCUCUUUCGUUUCAUGUGAACAGCCUUCCAGUCAACAUGACCUGUAUGACUCUCGCUUUUUCUAGCCUAUCAGAUCUGCAUGAUUUUGUCAGCAGGGCUAGCAACAAAAGUUGAAAUCUGAGAUUUUUCUCUCUUUCUUUCUCUCACCCACUUUCUUUGUCGAGCAGGCUGCGAGAAAAUUGUGAUCGGCUUCAUACUCAUCCUCAUCCUCACACCAGGGUGGGGUUUUUAAGCAUAUGUGUGAAUGUCAGGCUUGAGGAAAAUGGUGGACAGCUAGUCAAGUCUCAGUACAUAACAAAUCAUCAAAGCCGGGAUUAAAAUUUCGUGAAGGAGCAGCUUUGACUGCUGGAAGACUUAAGCGUAUUAGCUUUAAAACCAAGAUGGGAGUUUCAAGUGAUGUAUGGCAGACUUCAAAGAUGUUUUAAUCUGUCAGUAGGCAUGCUCUUGCACAGGCUAUUUAUAUUAGGACACAGUGUUUCUGCUUGCACAUCCUAAUCAAUGGCUUCUCCGGCUAGACCCAGCCUGAUGUUGGUGUUAACCAGUUAUUAAACAGCUGCACUUCCUCUAGAUUGUUUCCUCUGCUUUUCUUUAGAGUGGUCUUUAGAGGCACGACAUGUACUUAUUAUGAAUAAUCAUUUUAUGAUUUAAUGGUCACAACUGCACUUCUAUUCAUGCUACUGAAAUGUAUUUGGACGCUUAUAAGGUCACACUUAAAAAUUUUAAUGUCUUUGCAUUAUAUCAGUAUAUCAAACAUUAAAACAUAUGACAAAAAGAGUUGUUUGGACACUUUCUGGUUAGUGUAACAUUCAUUGUUAAUGGGAUGAAUUACAGCUGUGUUUACUCUGAUGGAACACAUGUAGUUGACAUGAUAUCUAAGAGGAUCGGCAGUAUCUUGUGGUGUGACAUGCUACAUUUUUUUCCACAUCUUCUAGGCGUUCUGUAUAGCCUUAUUAAUUGGGACAUGAAUACACUAUAAAAAAUUAUAUGAUUUGUAAAUCAUGGCAACUUAUGUUUUAUCAUUGACUCGUCAACUUUUUAUAAAUUAUAUGAAGGUCAACUUUUUAAGUCGGUUUAAUGUUAUUUAAGUUGAAAUGACUUUUACAACCAAGUUGAUUAUACUUAAAAUUUUAAGGCAGCAACUAAAGUUUUUAAAUUGAAAUAGGUGAAUUUUUUUACAGUGAAUAUUGCUACUGUUAAAAUGAAUUUGUUGCACUGCAGAACAAUUUAAAAUAAUUAUCUAUCAAAGGGAAAUUGUGUUUAAAAUGUUUUGACUAAAAUAAAUGUUGACCACAGGACUUGAAACACAUUUUCCCUAAUGCAUUUAUAUAAGAUUUAAAAUAUUGAUGAAAAUAAUUUAAUACAUAAGCGUGUGUAGAUAUCCACAUCUGGGAAAUCUUGAAGGAAACUGUCUUCAUACAUCCACUAAAAUGAGUUGGUAAUAACUGAAAUAAUAUGCUUUUAACUAAAAUAGUACAAGUUAUUUCUGGAGCCCUAGCUUCAUUUGUUUACAACUGCAACUUGGUUUGAUAUUUUUAUGUAGUGCAGCGACAAUCAUAAUAUCUCACUUAAGUAAUUUUUCAGGACAUUUUUUAAGGUUUAUUUCCUGCAGCAAAUUCUAACAUUCCUGCAAAUAUACAAUCUUUCUGCUACAUGUGAAAGUUUGUUAAACUGACAAGAAAGUGAUCAUUUCAGGUUUUGCUCAUCCAAGUUCAACGGCAUCCAGAAAAGAGUAAUACUACCUGAAUGCAGGCGCUAUAUCAUGAUGACGUGGAAGAUAUUGUCAUUCUAUACAAAAUCUGAAGCACCACUGCUUUCUUUAUGACUAUACAAAAUUAUUGAUUUAUUCCAAAAUAACCUGGAUAAGAGGAGUAUAAAGCCAAAACCUUUUAAUUCAAGUGUGUUAAUUGUAGUACUGUUCUUGUUGUUACUUAAAACUGUUGUUGACUAGUGACUAAGCUUUUAUUUUAUAACUUAAAAACGUAUUAUUAUUAUUAUUAUUAUUACAAAUUAUAUUUCAGCCUAACAAUUUGUGUGAAUGUUUUUGAA